UAGUUUAGUGGCGGACGGGUGAGUAACACGUGAGCAACCUGCCUUCGAGAGGGGAAUAACGGCUGGAAACGGUCGCUAAUACCGCAUAACAUACGGGAGGGACAUCCCUUUUGUAUCAAAGAUUUAUCGCUCGAAGAUGGGCUCGCGUCCGAUUAGGUAGUUGGUGAGGUAACGGCCCACCAAGCCGACGAUCGGUAGCCGGACUGAGAGGUUGAACGGCCACAUUGGGACUGAGACACGGCCCAGACUCCUACGGGAGGCAGCAG
Molecule: ribosomal RNA, 266 nt
Filed under: uncultured bacterium
Lineage: Bacteria
Description: partial 16S ribosomal RNA
Rfam family: Bacterial small subunit ribosomal RNA
Source: RNAcentral